This 681-nucleotide ribosomal RNA is filed under the name fungal sp. RNAcentral describes it as "eukaryotic LSU rRNA". The stretch from base 196 to 350 matches the Rfam family "5.8S ribosomal RNA". Lineage: Eukaryota; Fungi. The record is from RNAcentral.
UAACGAGUUAGGGUCUCUCUGGCCCGACCUCCCAACCCUUUGUCUACUUGACCAUCGUUGCUUCGGCGAGCCCGUCCUCACGGACCGCCGGAGGGAUCUUUACUGGCCCUCUGGUCCGCGCUCGUCGGUAGCCCAACCUUUAAAAUCUUUAACUAAACGUGCCUUAAUCUAAGUACAAUUAUUAAAUAAAAGCAAAACUUUCAACAACGGAUCUCUUGGUUCUGGCAUCGAUGAAGAACGCAGCGAAAUGCGAUAAGUAAUGCGAAUUGCAGAAUUCCAGUGAGUCAUCGAAUCUUUGAACGCACAUUGCGCCCUUUGGUAUUCCGAAGGGCAUGCCUGUUCGAGCGUCAUUAUCACCCCUCAAGCCCUCGGCUUGGUGUUGGACGGUUUGGUGGAGGCCCCCUCGGGGGUUCCUGCCCCUCCCAAAGACAAUGACGGCGGCCUCGUUGGACCCCCGGUACACUGAGUUCUUCACGGGACACGUAUCGGACACAUGGGUUUACGGGACACGGUCUGCCUCCCCUCAGGGAGAAUCUUUCUAAGGUUGACCUCGGAUCAGGUAGGGAUACCCGCUGAACUUAAGCAUAUCAAUAAGCGGAGGAAAAGAAACCAACAGGGAUUGCCUCAGUAACGGCGAGUGAAGCGGCAACAGCUCAAAUUUGAAAUCUGGCCUCUUUGGGG